ACGGUGGGGCGUUCACGCAAUUAAUGGCGUGGAAGGUGCGUCGUCGCCGCCCUUCCGAUCUCUCCCCUUCCGGUUGUAGUGGUUAUCAUCUUAUUUUCGUGAUAGCAGAGAGGACAGGAGGCGAAGCAAUGGCGACAGCGGCCAUGGGCGAUGACGAGGAGUAGGAGGCGGCAGCUACCUCAACAGCGAAGGUGCAGAGGAGGUGCACCUAAGCCAGUACUCGCCUACCCCCUCGCCGUUCUGUCUAAUACAGCUGCUUAGCUUAGGGAGGAUCAUCGAGGAGGCGAGGUCUAGAAGAAGACACGAGAGCAAUUCAAGUGUCCACCACCGCAGACCUUGAUUUAAUUGAAUAAGUGAGACUUCGUUCAGAAUUGUUUUGUAGGAUUCCAGCAUGGUAUGGUUUUUAUGUUCUACUCCAGCUCGCUCAAGAUCUUGGCGAUUUGUGUCGUGGAUGCAGAUGUUCAGUUGGAUUCAACAAGAGGACUCUCUAAAUUAUUCUGGGUACGUGCUUAAUCGCUAAGAUAAAAAGAAACAUCGAUAGCCCACGUUAUUAUCUUGCCUUUGGUACACAUACUUCCCCCUGUUACAUGCCAUUUCUUUAUUAGCUCCCUGCUGGCAGAUACAUGCUAAUGUGAUCUCUGAACUGUUUUCAUGUCAAUUUCUGAUUUAUGUGUGACAUAUAUGGAGUUUUGCUUUAACUGAUAUAACAAAGAAACAAUUAUGUCCUAUUAGUUCUAGAUAAAUUGUAUAUCGGUUUGUAGCUCAUCAUACCAAUUUCAUUCAUGACAUAAGAAAUCCUUGCCUGCUUUGAUGUUGGGCGGGCCAAAGAUCCGCCCUCUUCCGGUUUUUUAUAUCUAUAAAGGAACCAUCGUAUGGGUCAUAUAUAUAACUCAUUUUUCAACAGGCUUUGGUGAUUUGCACACUCUCUUGGAUUUACUUGAGCACUCCCCAUAGCUUUUAUCAAUUUAUUUUGAUACGAGUAUUCGAUAUUUUUCUUAUUGUUUUGUAAUGUGUUUAAUGAUAUCAAAAUCUAUGUCAUUAUCAUAUGCGUGGACAAAUAUAUUCUCUUUAACUAUCAUUGUUUGUUAUAUUAUCAUGCAUGGACAAAUAUAUUCUCUUUAACUAUCAUUAUG
RNAcentral lists this long non-coding RNA (1133 nucleotides) under Triticum aestivum (bread wheat). RNAcentral describes it as "long non-coding RNA (TAES_LNC026776)". The record is from RNAcentral. Lineage: Eukaryota; Viridiplantae; Streptophyta; Magnoliopsida; Poales; Poaceae.